AAAGUCGUAACAAGGUUUCCGUAGGUGAACCUGCGGAAGGAUCAUUAUUGAACAAAACUGGGUUAGGUUGCUGCUGGCUCUUAGGAGCAUGUGCACGCCUAUUCCAAUUGUUUCUAACCACCUGUGCACAUUGUGUAGACCUGGGAUAGUUUUCAAGAAAAAUUUUCUUGAUUUGAGAAUUGCUGUAUGUACACAAGCCAGCUUUUCUUGCGUUUCAGUGUCUAUGUUUUUUUACACACACUAUUGAAAUUUAUUAGAAUGACUUGAUAAUAGGCCUUUGUGCCUUUGAAAUUAAAUACAACUUUCAACAACGGAUCUCUUGGCUCUC
RNAcentral lists this unclassified non-coding RNA (328 nucleotides) under Basidiomycota sp. RNAcentral describes it as "partial contains small subunit ribosomal RNA, internal transcribed spacer 1, and 5.8S ribosomal RNA". The stretch from base 1 to 47 matches the Rfam family "Eukaryotic small subunit ribosomal RNA", at positions 1785 to 1831 of the family's 1831-position model. The record is from RNAcentral. Lineage: Eukaryota; Fungi; Basidiomycota.